Molecule: ribosomal RNA, 38 nt
Filed under: Nadsonia commutata
Lineage: Eukaryota; Fungi; Ascomycota; Dipodascomycetes; Dipodascales
Also listed under: 3 other names
Description: partial 26S rRNA
Source: RNAcentral
UUGACCUCGGAUCAGGUAGGAUUACCCGCUGAACUUAA